This 301-nucleotide ribosomal RNA is filed under the name uncultured bacterium. Its description in RNAcentral is "partial 16S ribosomal RNA". It matches the Rfam family "Bacterial small subunit ribosomal RNA", at positions 509 to 807 of the family's 1533-position model. The record is from RNAcentral.
CAGUCGCCACGGUAAUACGGAGGGGGCUAGCGUUGUUCGGAAUUACUGGGCGUAAAGCGCACGUAGGCGGCUUGGUAAGUUAGAGGUGAAAGCCCGGAGCUCAACUCCGGAAUUGCCUUUAAGACUGCCGAGCUAGUAGGUGAGAGAGGUAAGUGGAAUUCCGAGUGUAGAGGUGAAAUUCGUAGAUAUUCGGAAGAACACCAGUGGCGAAGGCGGCUUACUGGCUCAUUCUAGACGCUGAGGUGCGAAAGCGUGGGGAGCAAACAGGAUUAGAUACCCGGGUAGUCCCUGUCUCUUAUAC